CGGUAAAAGAUGAGCAUGCGUCCCAUUAGCUAGUUGGUAAGGUAACGGCUUACCAAGGCAACGAUGGGUAGGGGUCCUGAGAGGGAGAUCCCCCACACUGGUACUGAGACACGGACCAGACUCCUACGGGAGGCAGCAGUGAGGAAUAUUGGACAAUGGGCGCAAGCCUGAUCCAGCCAUGCCGCGUG
RNAcentral lists this ribosomal RNA (188 nucleotides) under Aeromonas salmonicida subsp. salmonicida 01-B526. RNAcentral describes it as "partial 16S ribosomal RNA". It matches the Rfam family "Bacterial small subunit ribosomal RNA", at positions 216 to 403 of the family's 1533-position model. The record is from RNAcentral. Lineage: Bacteria; Pseudomonadati; Pseudomonadota; Gammaproteobacteria; Aeromonadales; Aeromonadaceae.